GCCGCAGUAUAUUGACUGUGCGAAGGUAGCAUAAUCAUUAGCUUUUUAAUUGAAGGCUGGAAUGAAUGGUCAAACGAAAGUUUAUUUGUCUCUUAGUAAUUAAUUGAAUUUUAUUUUAUAGUGAAAAAGCUAUAAUAAAGUAAAAGGACGAGAAGACCCUAUAGAGCUUUAUAAAUGUUGGAAUUUAUUGGAAUAGUUAGAUCUAAUAUUUAUUGAAUUGGGGUGAUGAUGAAAUAAAUAAACUUUUAUGAUAUAAACAUAGAUAUGUGAAUUUAAGAUCUUUGGGUACAUUAAGAGUAAGUUACCUUAGGGAUAACAGCGUAAUUGUUUUGGAGAGUUCAAAUUGAUAGAACAGUUUGCGACCUCGAUGUUGGAUUAGAAAAAUUACCUGGAGCAAAAAUUAAGUUAUUAAGUCUGUUCGACUAUUAAAUUUCUA
Molecule: ribosomal RNA, 436 nt
Filed under: Cabecar sp. Caldas
Lineage: Eukaryota; Metazoa; Arthropoda; Insecta; Ephemeroptera; Leptohyphidae
Description: partial 16S ribosomal RNA
Rfam family: Bacterial large subunit ribosomal RNA
Source: RNAcentral